RNAcentral lists this ribosomal RNA (263 nucleotides) under uncultured Staphylococcus sp. RNAcentral describes it as "partial 16S ribosomal RNA". It matches the Rfam family "Bacterial small subunit ribosomal RNA", at positions 99 to 355 of the family's 1533-position model. The record is from RNAcentral. Lineage: Bacteria; Bacillati; Bacillota; Bacilli; Caryophanales; Staphylococcaceae.
CGGACGGGUGAGUAACACGUGGAUAACCUACCUAUAAGACUGGGAUAACUUCGGGAAACCGGAGCUAAUACCGGAUAAUAUAUUGAACCGCAUGGUUCAAUAGUGAAAGACGGUUUUGCUGUCACUUAUAGAUGGAUCCNCGCUGCAUUAGCUAGUUGGUAAGGUAACGGCUUACCAAGGCAACGAUGCGUAGCCGACCUGAGAGGGUGAUCGGCCACACUGGAACUGAGACACGGUCCAGACUCCUACGGGAGGCAGCAGCC